RNAcentral lists this unclassified non-coding RNA (169 nucleotides) under uncultured Helotiales. RNAcentral's name for it is "sequence contains ITS1". The record is from RNAcentral. Lineage: Eukaryota; Fungi; Ascomycota; Leotiomycetes; Helotiales.
CCGAGUUCAUGCCCGUACGGGUAGAUCUCCCACCCUAUGUUAUAUUACCUUUGUUGCUUUGGCAGGCCGUCAGGCCUCGGUCAGGCUACCGGCUCCAGCUGGUAAGCGCCUGCCAGAAGACAUUCAAACUCUGUAAUCAGUGUCGUCUGAGUAAAAAUUUAAUAAGUUA